GGAAGAGUGGCAGAGUGGCCGAUUGCGGCUGUCUUGAAAACAGUUGUCGGGUGACCGACCGUGGGUUCGAAUCCUACCUCUUCCGCCA
This 88-nucleotide transfer RNA is filed under the name Rhabdochlamydiaceae bacterium. RNAcentral's name for it is "tRNA-Ser". It matches the Rfam family "tRNA". From Rfam's summary of the family: Transfer RNA (tRNA) molecules are approximately 80 nucleotides in length. The record is from RNAcentral. Lineage: Bacteria; Pseudomonadati; Chlamydiota; Chlamydiia; Parachlamydiales; Candidatus Rhabdochlamydiaceae.